GAUGAACGCUGGCGGCGUGCCUAAUACAUGCAAGUCGAGCGAACAGAUGAGGAGCUUGCUCCUCUGACGUUAGCGGCGGACGGGUGAGUAACACGUGGAUAACCUACCUAUAAGACUGGGAUAACUUCGGGAAACCGGAGCUAAUACCGGAUAAUAUAUUGAACCGCAUGGUUCAAUAGUGAAAGACGGUUUUGCUGUCACUUAUAGAUGGAUCCGCGCCGCAUUAGCUAGUUGGUAAGGUAACGGCUUACCAAGGCAACGAUGCGUAGCCGACCUGAGAGGGUGAUCGGCCACACUGGAACUGAGACACGGUCCAGACUCCUACGGGAGGCAGCAGUAGGGAAUCUUCCGCAAAGGGCGAAAGCCUGACGGAGCAACGCCGCGUGAGUGAUGAAGGUCUUCGGAUCGUAAAACUCUGUUAUUAGGGAAGAACAAAUGUGUAAGUAACCAUGCACGUCUUGACGGUACCUAAUCAGAAAGCCACGGCUAACUACGUG
RNAcentral lists this ribosomal RNA (497 nucleotides) under uncultured bacterium. Its description in RNAcentral is "partial 16S ribosomal RNA". It matches the Rfam family "Bacterial small subunit ribosomal RNA", at positions 28 to 507 of the family's 1533-position model. The record is from RNAcentral.